This is a long non-coding RNA of Zingiber officinale, 850 nucleotides long. RefSeq lists it as uncharacterized. The record is from RefSeq and is a predicted model, not a curated record. Lineage: Eukaryota; Viridiplantae; Streptophyta; Magnoliopsida; Zingiberales; Zingiberaceae. The transcript has 2 exons.
UAUCACACUCAUCUCCACAGCCCAAUCGUUCCGCCUCCUCACGCGCUGCCAAGCUUUGACGGGUCUUCACCCUCGCGGUGGAGUGAGUGCGGCGUUGGAGCUGGCAGCCGAUUUCCACCGUGUGGAGCAGAUUGGACAGGAGAAAACGAGUACACGCAGCGGAAGUCACGGGGGUUUUGGGGAGGACGAGGAAGCGCAAGCGCAGGCAAGUGUAUUUACUGUGAUAACUUGAGAUCUGUGAGGUACAGAGGGGUGGAAACCUAAGGAAGGUGAGGUUUGGUGGGGAUUUCGGCUGUUUUCUUCUUGUGGUUGUUCUGAUUGGUUUUUCUUGGAGGUGUACCAAACUGCUUCUCUGCUAUAUGCUUCGAAUUGUUUUCUUUCUUGAGGAUGUAUUCGAUCGGUUUGUUACUUCGUAGGUGUUUCAGAUUUGUUUCGCCUCUGUAGAGCGGUGUUUUGUUGGAAGUAUCGGCUGAAGGUGUUGCUUGGUUUGCGUAUGUCUCCGAAGUUUUAUAGUGAUGUCAGCUUUGAUGGAGUUCGAAUUUCACAGUAUGUUUCCUGGAGGUUUUGGCUGGUGUUCGAUGUGCUGGAAAUUGAGUUUGAGUUGUGCUCUUCCGUGAAUGAACAAGUUUUAGUGAGGAUGUGUCUCUGGACGCAACGGAGGGUCUACAGACGGAGUAGGCGAGGAGGCGGGAUGGAUGCAUGGCGAGUCCGGAUAUUAGGAGUACUGAGCUUAUGUUCUUCAUGAGAAAGGUUUUGCUUUGGUGAGGUCGAGAGUAUCGAGUUUUCUUUAUUAUACUUUGUGAGGAAUGUUGACUUUUACGUUCGAUGAAAUAAUAUUUUUGAUUUGGUA